RNAcentral lists this ribosomal RNA (442 nucleotides) under uncultured bacterium. RNAcentral's name for it is "partial 16S ribosomal RNA". It matches the Rfam family "Bacterial small subunit ribosomal RNA", at positions 338 to 795 of the family's 1533-position model. The record is from RNAcentral.
CCUACGGGUGGCUGCAGUGAGGAAUAUUGGGCAAUGGGCGCGAGACUGACCCAGCAACGCCGCGUGAAGGAAGAAGGCUUUCAGGAUGGAAACUUCUUUUGUCCGGGAAGAGUAGAAGACGGUACGUGACGAAUAAGCCACGGCUAACUACAUGCCAGCAGCCGCGGUAAUACGUAGUUGGCAAGCGUUGUCCGGAUUUACUGGGUGUAACGGGCGUGUAGCCGGGUUGACAAGUCAGAUGUGAAAUCCUGCGGCUUAACCGCAGAACUGCAUUUGAAACUGUUGAUCUUGAGUAAUGGAGAGGCAGAUGGAAUGCGUAGUGUAGCGGUGAAAUGCGUAGAUAUCAGGAAGAACACCAGUGGCGAAGGCGGUCUGCUGGACAGCAACUGACGGUGAGGCGCGAAAGCGUGGGGAGCGAACAGGAUUAGAUACCCUAGUAGUC